RNAcentral lists this transfer RNA (87 nucleotides) under Siphoviridae sp. ctFjF5. RNAcentral's name for it is "tRNA-Ser". It matches the Rfam family "tRNA". From Rfam's summary of the family: Transfer RNA (tRNA) molecules are approximately 80 nucleotides in length. Their secondary structure includes four short double-helical elements and three loops (D, anti-codon, and T loops). RNAcentral also lists the same sequence under 1 other name. The record is from RNAcentral. Lineage: Duplodnaviria; Heunggongvirae; Uroviricota; Caudoviricetes.
GGACAGGUGCCAGAGUCAGGCUUAUUGGGGCGGUCUUGAAAACCGUUGGCGCAGGAGCGUCCGUGGGUUCGAAUCCUACCUUGUCCG